Molecule: unclassified non-coding RNA, 486 nt
Filed under: Hevea brasiliensis (rubber tree)
Lineage: Eukaryota; Viridiplantae; Streptophyta; Magnoliopsida; Malpighiales; Euphorbiaceae
Source: RNAcentral
GACCUCACUGGUGGCUCUAUCAUUUUACGGUGCAAGUCAACUCAAGUUCCACUGGGUGGAACGUUAUGACAAGCUCCUCGUCGGUUCAGUGCUAAGCUUGGUUGGUAUUUUGACCCUUAUCUUUCACGAUCACGACCACGAAGGAGGUUCUGCAGGAGGUCAUGUGCACAGAAAACUCAUUGUGCUAUAAAAAGAUCAUUCUUCAGCCAACAAAUCUGUUUCCUGAAGCCUAGUAUUCAAAUGCAUAUUUACCUUUAAAGGAUAGAAAGGGGAGCCUUAGAGCAACGGUAAAUUUGUUAUAGGUCAUGGGUACGAGCUGUGGAAUCAGCCACUAAUGCUUGCGUUAGGGUAGACUGCCUACAUUACACCCCUUGGUGUACUGGUGUACGGCCACCCCCCGGGCUCCUUUUUUUUUUUAGUUACCUCAAGAAAAGCAAUGUACAAAUACACUUUUUUUUCAAGUUGUGCAAUUAAUGUGUGCUCAAG